UCCUACGGGGCGCAGCAGUAGGGAAUCUUCCACAAUGGACGAAAGUCUGAUGGAGCAACGCCGCGUGAGUGAAGAAGGGUUUCGGCUCGUAAAGCUCUGUUGGUAGUGAAGAAAGAUAGAGGUAGUAACUGACCUUUAUUUGACGGUAAUUACUUAGAAAGUCACGGCUAACUACGUGCCAGCAGCCGCGGUAAUACGUAGGUGGCAAGCGUUGUCCGGAUUUAUUGGGCGUAAAGCGAGUGCAGGCGGGUCAAUAAGGCUGAUGUGAAAGGCUUUCG
This 278-nucleotide ribosomal RNA is filed under the name uncultured bacterium. RNAcentral describes it as "partial 16S ribosomal RNA". It matches the Rfam family "Bacterial small subunit ribosomal RNA", at positions 337 to 607 of the family's 1533-position model. The record is from RNAcentral.